This 1344-nucleotide long non-coding RNA is filed under the name Macaca fascicularis (crab-eating macaque). Its description in RNAcentral is "lncRNA (ENSMFAG00000054304.1)". The record is from RNAcentral. Lineage: Eukaryota; Metazoa; Chordata; Mammalia; Primates; Cercopithecidae.
CUUUUUUUUUUUUUUUUUUGAGACGGAGUCUCGCUCCAUCGCCCAGGCUGGAGUGCAGUGGCGCAAUCUCAGCUCACUGCAAGCUCCGCCUCUUGGGUUCAAGCCAUUCUCCUGCCUCAGCCUCCCGAGUAGCUGGGACUACAGGCGCCCGCCAUCACGCCCGGCUAAUUUUUUGUAUUUUUAGUAGAGACGGGGUUUCACCGUGUUACCCAGGAUGGUCUCGAUCUCCUGACCUCGUGAUCCACCCGCCUAGGCCUCCCUAAGAGCUGGAUUACAGGCAUAAGCCACUGCGCCCAGCCAAAAUAAAUCUUUUUAGCCUGGCCAAGAGCUCUUCCCAACAAUUACCUGUCCAAUGCCUCACGACACAAGUCAUGGAGCAAGACAGGUUCUGCAGGGACUGGGAUGCUGAGGACCCUGGGAGCAGGGGUAGGGGCUGCAGUGAAGUAAGUCACAGGAGGGAAGGGACACAAGUCAAAAGUAACAAUAACUAGAAUUACAGCUUAGAAAACACAAAUGCAGCUCUAAGACUUGCCGAGAUUCUACGCAGCGGCACCCCCCACGUUCCGCCCACUCUCAACAGCCGUCAAAGCGCAGCUCGGACUGCAGGGCGGUUUGGCGUCCAGGGUCACUCUCUGGCUCCUCUCUCGAACGCCGCCUCCGACACCCGCCCAGCACGACCCAGCCUGGGGUGUCUCUCUGCAAGGGAGAGGUCAAGUGGGGGACCCUCGGUCUCAUGUAAAUGCAACUUGGGGCGAUGCAGGAUAGUGUCCAGCAUUCAGGAAAGGGGGCCUUGGUGGAAAGAGCGGCCAGCCAGGAAAAUCAAGUCUCUAGGCCUUUUCAGAGCCAAAAUGCAGCCAAGCGGGAAGGCGGACAGGCGCCCAGAACCCCUGGGGCAAGGAGCUGCCCCUUCCCUCCUCCUGGGGAAAGCAGUAGCCAACCGCUCCCGUGCCUCCUAGCCCAAGGAGUUCGCCCGGGCCACCCCUAAGCCCAACAGCAGCCCCCAGGGCUCCUCACAGGUCAUAAGCCCCUCUGAGCCGCGACAGUCCUCGCAUCCAGGUCGGGGCAGGGAGCGGGGGCGACUGUCCCCAACACGGCGGCCAGAAAGCCCAAAAUACGGAGCCUGCCCAAGAUGGCGGUCACGACUAUCCCGCGACAACGCGGCCCCGGGCUCGCUGUGCCCGAGCCUGGAGCCUGCCGAACCGCACUAACACGGGGACCUCGCCUCUGCCACUCCCGAGAGGGCGCCACCGCCUCCGACGGCCAUCCCUGGGGUGCAGAUGGCGUCCGCACGCCCGUCGGCACCGCCCGCUUCCAGAUCACUUAAAAUGGCGGCGGCUGCGGGGU